GUUUGGCCUGCCCAAUGAGUAGUUUAAUGGCUGCAGUAUUUUAACUGUACAAAGGUAGCAUAAUCAUUUGUUUUUUAAUUGAAAGCUUGAAUGAAAGGUUAGAUGAAAAAAUUUCUGUCUCUGGAAAAAUUAAUUAAAAUUUUAUUUUUGAGUGAAAAAGCUUAAAUAAAAAUAGAAGACGAGAAGACCCUAUAGAGUUUUAUAUUUAUUAGAUUAACUAUAUUUUAGGUAUUAAAGGUUUGUUAUUAUAGUAAGUAUUUUGUUGGGGUGAUAAGAAAAUUUAAAAAACUUUUUUUAAUAAUUUCACUAAUUUGUGUAUUAAUGAUCCUAACUGUUUAGAUUAAAAGAUUAAAUUACCUUAGGGAUAACAGCGUAAUUUUUUCUAGAGUUCUUAUCGAAGAAAAAGAUUGCGACCUCGAUGUUGGAUUAAAAUAAAUUGCUGGCGAAGGUGCUAGUUAAUUAGGUCUGUUCGACCUUUAAAAUUUUACAUGAUCUGAGUUUAAACCGGUGUGAG
RNAcentral lists this ribosomal RNA (514 nucleotides) under Trigonopterus sp. 153 AR-2022a. RNAcentral's name for it is "partial large subunit ribosomal RNA". It matches the Rfam family "Bacterial large subunit ribosomal RNA", at positions 1852 to 2625 of the family's 2925-position model. The record is from RNAcentral. Lineage: Eukaryota; Metazoa; Arthropoda; Insecta; Coleoptera; Curculionidae.